UACGGGGGGGGCAAGCGUUGUUCGGAAUUACUGGGCGUAAAGGGCUCGUAGGCGGCCAACUAAGUCAGACGUGAAAUCCCCAGGCUUAACCUGGGAACUGCAUCCGAUACUGGAUGGCUUGAAUCCGGGAGAGGGAUGCAGAAUUCCAGGUGUAGCGGUGAAAUGCGUAGAUAUCUGGAGGAAUACCGGUGGCGAAGGCGGCAUCCUGGACCGGCAUUGACGCUGAUGAGCGAAAGCUAGGGGAGCAAACGGG
Molecule: ribosomal RNA, 253 nt
Filed under: uncultured bacterium
Lineage: Bacteria
Description: partial 16S ribosomal RNA
Rfam family: Bacterial small subunit ribosomal RNA
Source: RNAcentral